This 29-nucleotide non-coding RNA is filed under the name Mus musculus (house mouse). Lineage: Eukaryota; Metazoa; Chordata; Mammalia; Rodentia; Muridae. The record is from RNAcentral.
UAGACGCCAUGAGGUGAGGAUUCAGAGUC